RNAcentral lists this unclassified non-coding RNA (207 nucleotides) under Hevea brasiliensis (rubber tree). The record is from RNAcentral. Lineage: Eukaryota; Viridiplantae; Streptophyta; Magnoliopsida; Malpighiales; Euphorbiaceae.
AAGAUUUACCUGCACAAAAAAAUUAGAAAAUAAGGGAGGAUAGAAGGGGAAGGGACUUACCUACGAUGUCGAGGAGCCAUCAAAGGGGAUCAGUGUAGUCAGACUAGUCGAUUGACAGUGAAAAUGGAUGACAUCGAGGCUUGAACCAUGGGAGAAAGAUAUGGGAGAGGAAGCGUCGUCGAUUGGCGGUGGAUCGACGGAGAAUGG